CCUACGGGUGGCAGCAGUCGAGAAUCAUUCACAAUGGGGGAAACCCUGAUGGUGCGACGCCGCGUGGGGGAAUGAAGGUCUUCGGAUUGUAAACCCCUGUCAUGUGGGAGCAAAUUAAAAAGAUAGUACCACAAGAGGAAGAGACGGCUAACUCUGUGCCAGCAGCCGCGGUAAUACAGAGGUCUCAAGCGUUGUUCGGAAUCACUGGGCGUAAAGCGUGCGUAGGCUGUUUCGUAAGUCGUGUGUGAAAGGCGCGGGCUCAACCCGCGGACGGCACAUGAUACUGCGAGACGAGAGUAAGGGAGGGGGAACCGGAAUUCUCGGUGUAGCAGUGAAAUGCGUAGAUAUCGAGAGGAACACUCGUGGCGAAGGCGGGUUCCUGGACAUUAACUGACGCUGAGGCACGAAGGCCAGGGGAGCGAAAGGGAUUAGAUACCCCUGUAGUC
RNAcentral lists this ribosomal RNA (446 nucleotides) under uncultured bacterium. Its description in RNAcentral is "partial 16S ribosomal RNA". It matches the Rfam family "Bacterial small subunit ribosomal RNA", at positions 338 to 795 of the family's 1533-position model. The record is from RNAcentral.